RNAcentral lists this ribosomal RNA (484 nucleotides) under uncultured bacterium. RNAcentral's name for it is "partial 16S ribosomal RNA". It matches the Rfam family "Bacterial small subunit ribosomal RNA", at positions 30 to 507 of the family's 1533-position model. The record is from RNAcentral.
AUUGAACGCUGGCGGCAGGCCUAACACAUGCAAGUCGAGCGGAUGAAGGGAGCUUGCUCCUGGAUUCAGCGGCGGACGGGUGAGUAAUGCCUAGGAAUCUGCCUGGUAGUGGGGGAUAACGUCCGGAAACGGGCGCUAAUACCGCAUACGUCCUGAGGGAGAAAGUGGGGGAUCUUCGGACCUCACGCUAUCAGAUGAGCUUAGGUCGGAUUAGCUAGUUGGUGGGGUAAAGGCCUACCAAGCCGACGAUCCGUAACUGGACUGAGAGGAUGAUCAGUCACACUGGAGCUGAGACACGGUCCAGACUCCUACGGGAGGCAGCAGUGGGGAAUAUUGGGCAAUGGGCGAAAGUCUGAUCCAGUCAUGCCGAGUGUGUUACGACGGUCUUCGGAUUGUAAAGAACUUUAAGUUGGGAGGAAGGGCAGUAAGUUAAUACCUUGCUGUUUUGACGCUACCAACAGAAUAAGCACCGGCUAACUUCGUG